AUCCUGCCUCCGUGCCCCGCUGAUUGCGAUCAGCAGCAUGCCCAGGCAGCCAGGAUCUUCAAGGCUGCGGCGCGGCUUGACCGCGUUGAUCACACCAGUUCGCUCCGGCAUCCCUGCGCGAACGGCCAUCGGCAACGGUGGUGAUGC
This is a regulatory RNA element of 147 nucleotides. It matches the Rfam family "radC RNA". The record is from Rfam.